RNAcentral lists this ribosomal RNA (403 nucleotides) under Rhipicephalus senegalensis. RNAcentral's name for it is "partial 12S ribosomal RNA". The record is from RNAcentral. Lineage: Eukaryota; Metazoa; Arthropoda; Arachnida; Ixodida; Ixodidae.
UAAACUAGGAAUUGAUACCCUAUUAUUUUAGAGCUUGACAUUGUUAGUAAAUAAAUAUUACGAAAGCAAAAAAUUAUGGCGGUAUUUUAAGCUUUUCAGAGGAAUUUGCUCUUUAAUGGAUAAAACACCUAAAUCUUACUUAAAUUUGUCAAUUCAAUUUGUAUACCACUAUUGAAAUAAUUAAUAACUUUAAUUGUUUAAAUUUAUAAAAUUAAAUUAUGUUAAGUCAAGGUGCAGUAAAAAUUUAAGAAUGAAGUGAAUUACAUUUCUUUUUAGAGAAAAAAAAAUUAAAUUAACAUUUAGGAUUUGAAAGUAAAAUUAAAAUAGUAUGUUAAUUUGAAUUAAGCUCUAAAAUAUGUACAUAUCGCCCGUCACUCUUUAUUAAGAUAAUCCGUUACAUAGA